GGAGUAUUGCACAAUGGGGGAAACCCUGAUGCAGCAACGCCGCGUGAGUGAUUGAAGUAUUUCGGUAUGUAAAACUCUAUCAGCAGGGAAGAAGAUGACGGUACCUGAUUAAGAAGCCCCGGCUAACUACGUGCCAGCAGCCGCGGUAAUACGUAGGGGGCAAGCGUUAUCCGGAUUUACUGGGUGUAAAGGGAGCGUAGACGGCGAUGAAAGUCUGAAGUGAAAGCCCGGGGCUCAACCCCGGGACUGCUUUGGAAACUGUAUAGCUAGAGUGCUGGAGAGGCAAGCGGAAUUCCUAGUGUAGCGGUGAAAUGCGUAGAUAUUAGGAAGAACACCAGUGGCGAAGGCGGCUUGCUGGACAGUAACUGACGUUGAGGCUCGAAAGCGUGGGGAGCAAAC
RNAcentral lists this ribosomal RNA (399 nucleotides) under uncultured bacterium. RNAcentral's name for it is "bacterial SSU rRNA". It matches the Rfam family "Bacterial small subunit ribosomal RNA", at positions 358 to 773 of the family's 1533-position model. The record is from RNAcentral.